This 1239-nucleotide long non-coding RNA is filed under the name Bos indicus x Bos taurus (hybrid cattle). RNAcentral describes it as "lncRNA (ENSBIXG00000029714.1)". The record is from RNAcentral. Lineage: Eukaryota; Metazoa; Chordata; Mammalia; Artiodactyla; Bovidae.
CAGGGCCAGACGGAGAUGGACAACCAGUCAUCCUAAAGGAGAUCAGUCCUGAGUGUUCAUUGGAAGGACUGAUGCUGAAACUCCAGUACUUUGGCCACCUGAUGCGAAGAGCUGACUCAUCGGAAAAGACCCUGAUGCUGGGAAAGAUUGAGGGCAGGAGGAGAAGGGGACAAUAGAGGAUGAGAUGGUUGGAUGGCAUCAUCGACUCAAUGGACAUGAGUUUUAAGUAAACUCCGGGAGUUGGUGAUGGACAUGGAUGGAGGCCGGACACGACUGAGCGGCUGAACUGAACUGAGCUGGACUGACCCGGGCCGGCAGGCGUCGGGGCGGGGGCCGCGAGUGCGCCGCUCUUCGAAGAUCCUCCGUGGCGUCUUUCCCUGGGUUUCCGCCGUAUCUGUGAGGGGAGCUUGCGAGAUGGUGCAGUCAGUGACGACCCCAGGGACUCACAAAGCAGCAUCUGUCUCGCUCUGGCAACGUGUCACUGCAAGUUGGCCCGAGGCCCCUGCUGCUGAAGCCACGUGGGGACCAAGGGCUGUGUAGAAGUGAACACAGGAUGUUCACAUCUGUGAAGGCAACAGAAACGUCAUUCCAAAUUGCAAUGGAGACAGAGAGCAUCCGGUCGGGCGGAUUCUUUACCAAGCUGAGUCACCAGGGAAGCCGGAAGAAGGACCAGCUGGUCUGUUUAUCAGUGACAGAAGACAGGAGGAGGAGAGAACCGUUUCUGAGUGAGGCAAUCAAAUCUGUCUUGGUCGCUUCAUGGCCGGAAGGCCCUUGGAUAGCAAGCCUGGAGUGUGGGAAAUGCUGUCUCCUCACAGGAUGGAUGCCGUCAGGUUUGUGUUGUGCUUUAAACCCUGUAAUGUUUGGUGAAAUGCGGCAGAUUUGGGCUCCUGAAGUUAGAACGCUGGAUCUCUCAGUCGUGUCCGACUCUUUGCAACCCCCCUGCACCGUAGGCCACCAGGCUCCCCCGUCCAUGGGACUCUCCCGGCAAGAAUACUGGAGUGGGUUGCCAUUUCCUCCUCCAGAGUUGGAAUUAGAAUGGAGAAAACUGAAACGUCCCUGGCGGUCCAGUGGGUUAAGACGUUGCCUUCCAGUGCAGGAGUGGCCGGUUCCGGUCUUGAUCAGGGAGCUAAGAUCACACUUGCCUUGCAGCUGAAAACAACAACAACAACACACAAAAAAAAACAAACCAAAGUAUAAAACAGAAGAAGUAUUGUAACAAAUUCAAUAAAGAAUUUUAAA